UUAAGCGACUAAGCGUACACGGUGGAUGCCCUGGCAGUCAGAGGCGAUGAAGGACGUGCUAAUCUGCGAAAAGCGCCGGCGAGGUGAUAUGAACCCUUGACCCGGCGAUGUCCGAAUGGGGAAACCCAGUGCAAUCCGUUGCACUAUCGUUAACUGAAUACAUAGGUUAACGAGGCGAACCGGGGGAACUGAAACAUCUAAGUACCCCGAGGAAAAGAAAUCAACCGAGAUUCCCCCAGUAGCGGCGAGCGAACGGGGAGCAGCCCGGAGUCUGAAUCAGCUUGUGUGUUAGUGGAACGGUCUGGAAAGUCCGACGGUACAGGGUGAUAGUCCCGUACACGAAAAUGCACAUGCUGUGAACUCGAAGAGUAGGGCGGGACACGUGGUAUCCUGUCUGAAUAUGGGGGGACCAUCCUCCAAGGCUAAAUACUCCUGACUGACCGAUAGUGAACCAGUACCGUGAGGGAAAGGCGAAAAGAACCCCGGCGAGGGGAGUGAAAAAGAACCUGAAACCGUGUACGUACAAGCAGUGGGAGCCUCUUUAUGGGGUGACUGCGUACCUUUUGUAUAAUGGGUCAGCGACUUAUAUUCUGUAGCAAGGUUAACCGUAUAGGGGAGCCGAAGGGAAACCGAGUCUUAACUGGGCGUUAAGUUGCAGGGUAUAGACCCGAAACCCGGUGAUCUAGCCAUGGGCAGGUUGAAGGUUGGGUAACACUAACUGGAGGACCGAACCGACUAAUGUUGAAAAAUUAGCGGAUGACCUGUGGCUGGGGGUGAAAGGCCAAUCAAACCGGGAGAUAGCUGGUUCUCCCCGAAAGCUAUUUAGGUAGCGCCUCGUGAACUCAUCUUCGGGGGUAGAGCACUGUUUCGGCUAGGGGGCCAUCCCGGCUUACCAACCCGAUGCAAACUACGAAUACCGAAGAAUGUUAUCACGGGAGACACACGGCGGGUGCUAACGUCCGUCGUGAAGAGGGAAACAACCCAGACCGCCAGCUAAGGUCCCAAAGUCAUGGUUAAGUGGGAAACGAUGUGGGAAGGCACAGACAGCCAGGAUGUUGGCUUAGAAGCAGCCAUCAUUUAAAGAAAGCGUAAUAGCUCACUGGUCGAGUCGGCCUGCGCGGAAGAUGUAACGGGGCUAAACCAUGCACCGAAGCUGCGGCAGCGACACUUAUGUGUUGUUGGGUAGGGGAGCGUUCUGUAAGCCGUUGAAGGUGUGCUGUGAGGCAUGCUGGAGGUAUCAGAAGUGCGAAUGCUGACAUAAGUAACGAUAAAGCGGGUGAAAAGCCCGCUCGCCGGAAGACCAAGGGUUCCUGUCCAACGUUAAUCGGGGCAGGGUGAGUCGACCCCUAAGGCGAGGCCGAAAGGCGUAGUCGAUGGGAAACAGGUUAAUAUUCCUGUACUUGGUGUUACUGCGAAGGGGGGACGGAGAAGGCUAUGUCAGCCGGGCGACGGUUGUCCCGGUUUAAGCAUGUAGGCGGAGGUUCCAGGUAAAUCCGGUACCUUGUUAACGCUGAGGUGUGAUGACGAGGCACUACGGUGCUGAAGUGAUAAAUGCCCUGCUUCCAGGAAAAGCCUCUAAGCAUCAGGUAACACGAAAUCGUACCCCAAACCGACACAGGUGGUCAGGUAGAGAAUACCAAGGCGCUUGAGAGAACUCGGGUGAAGGAACUAGGCAAAAUGGUGCCGUAACUUCGGGAGAAGGCACGCUGAUGUGUAGGUGAAGCCCCUGCGGGUGGAGCUGAAAUCAGUCGAAGAUACCAGCUGGCUGCAACUGUUUAUUAAAAACACAGCACUGUGCAAACACGAAAGUGGACGUAUACGGUGUGACGCCUGCCCGGUGCCGGAAGGUUAAUUGAUGGGGUUAGCGGCAACGCGAAGCUCUUGAUCGAAGCCCCGGUAAACGGCGGCCGUAACUAUAACGGUCCUAAGGUAGCGAAAUUCCUUGUCGGGUAAGUUCCGACCUGCACGAAUGGCGUAAUGAUGGCCAGGCUGUCUCCACCCGAGACUCAGUGAAAUUGAACUCGCUGUGAAGAUGCAGUGUACCCGCGGCAAGACGGAAAGACCCCGUGAACCUUUACUAUAGCUUGACACUGAACACUGGUCCUUGAUGUGUAGGAUAGGUGGGAGGCUUUGAAGCGUGGACGCCAGUCUGCGUGGAGCCAACCUUGAAAUACCACCCUUUAAUGGCUGGUGUUCUAACGUAGACCCGUAAUCCGGGUUGCGGACAGUGUCUGGUGGGUAGUUUGACUGGGGCGGUCUCCUCCCAAAGAGUAACGGAGGAGCACGAAGGUUGGCUAAUCCUGGUCGGACAUCAGGAGGUUAGUGCAAUGGCAUAAGCCAGCUUGACUGCGAGCGUGACGGCGCGAGCAGGUGCGAAAGCAGGUCAUAGUGAUCCGGUGGUUCUGAAUGGAAGGGCCAUCGCUCAACGGAUAAAAGGUACUCCGGGGAUAACAGGCUGAUACCGCCCAAGAGUUCAUAUCGACGGCGGUGUUUGGCACCUCGAUGUCGGCUCAUCACAUCCUGGGGCUGAAGUAGGUCCCAAGGGUAUGGCUGUUCGCCAUUUAAAGUGGUACGCGAGCUGGGUUUAGAACGUCGUGAGACAGUUCGGUCCCUAUCUGCCGUGGGCGCUGGAGAAUUGAGGGGGGCUGCUCCUAGUACGAGAGGACCGGAGUGGACGCAUCACUGGUGUUCGGGUUGUCAUGCCAAUGGCACUGCCCGGUAGCUAAAUGCGGAAGAGAUAAGUGCUGAAAGCAUCUAAGCACGAAACUUGCCCCGAGAUGAGUUCUCCCUGAGACUUUAAGUCUCCUGAAGGAACGUUAAAGACUAUGACGUUGAUAGGUCGGGUGUGUAAGCGCAGCGAUGCGUUGAGCUAACCGAUACUAAUGAACCGUGAGGCUUAACCU
RNAcentral lists this ribosomal RNA (2903 nucleotides) under Enterobacter cloacae. RNAcentral describes it as "23S ribosomal RNA". It matches the Rfam family "Bacterial large subunit ribosomal RNA". The record is from RNAcentral. Lineage: Bacteria; Pseudomonadati; Pseudomonadota; Gammaproteobacteria; Enterobacterales; Enterobacteriaceae.